GAUGAACGCUGGCGGCGUGCCUAAUACAUGCAAGUCGAGCGAACAGACGAGGAGCUUGCUCCUCUGACGUUAGCGGCGGACGGGUGAGUAACACGUGGAUAACCUACCUAUAAGACUGGGAUAACUUCGGGAAACCGGAGCUAAUACCGGAUAAUAUAUUGAACCGCAUGGUUCAAUAGUGAAAGACGGUUUUGCUGUCACUUAUAGAUGGAUCCGCGCCGCAUUAGCUAGUUGGUAAGGUAACGGCUUACCAAGGCAACGAUGCGUAGCCGAACUGAGAGGCUGAUCGGCCACACUGGAACUGAGACACGGUCCAGACUCCUACGGGAGGCAGCAGUAGGGCAUCUUCCGCAAUGGGCGAAAGCUUGACGGAGCAACGCCGCGUGAGUGAUGAAGGUCUUCGGAUCGUAAAACUCUGUUAUUAGGGAAGAACAAAUGUGUAAGUACCUAUGCACGUCUUGACGGUACCUAAUCAGAAAGCCACGGCUAACUACGUG
RNAcentral lists this ribosomal RNA (497 nucleotides) under uncultured bacterium. Its description in RNAcentral is "partial 16S ribosomal RNA". It matches the Rfam family "Bacterial small subunit ribosomal RNA", at positions 28 to 507 of the family's 1533-position model. The record is from RNAcentral.